RNAcentral lists this ribosomal RNA (492 nucleotides) under uncultured bacterium. RNAcentral's name for it is "partial 16S ribosomal RNA". It matches the Rfam family "Bacterial small subunit ribosomal RNA", at positions 29 to 507 of the family's 1533-position model. The record is from RNAcentral.
AGUGAACGCUGGCGGUAGGCCUAACACAUGCAAGUCGAACGGCAGCACAGUAAGAGCUUGCUCUUACGGGUUGCGAGUGGCGGACGGGUGAGGAAUACAUCGGAAUCUACUUUUUCGUGGGGGAUAACGUAGGGAAACUUACGCUAAUACCGCAUACGACCUACGGGUGAAAGCAGGGGAUCUUCGGACCUUGCGCGAUUGAAUGAGCCGAUGUCGGAUUAGCUAGUUGGCGGGGUAAAGGCCCACCAAGGCGACGAUCCGUAGCUGGUCUGAGAGGAUGAUCAGCCACACUGGAACUGAGACACGGUCCAGACUCCUACGGGAGGCAGCAGUGGGGAAUAUUGGACAAUGGGCGCAAGCCUGAUCCAGCCAUACCGCGUGGGUGAAGAAGGCCUUCGGGUUGUAAAGCCCUUUUGUUGGGAAAGAAAAGCAGCAGGUUAAUACCACGCUGUUCUGACGGUACCCAAAGAAUAAGCACCGGCUAACUUCGUG